This 483-nucleotide ribosomal RNA is filed under the name uncultured bacterium. RNAcentral describes it as "partial 16S ribosomal RNA". It matches the Rfam family "Bacterial small subunit ribosomal RNA", at positions 28 to 523 of the family's 1533-position model. The record is from RNAcentral.
GACGAACGCUGGCGGCGUGCUUAACACAUGCAAGUCGAACGGUGAAGGUGGAGCUUGCUCCGCCGGAUCAGUGGCGAACGGGUGAGUAACACGUGGGCAACCUGCCCCUAACUUUGGGAUAACUACUCGAAAGAGUAGCUAAUACCGGAUAUGAAGUCUGUAGGCAUCUAUGGAUUUGGAAAGUUUUUCGGUUAGGGUUGGGCCCGCGGCCUAUCAGCUGGUGGGUGAGGUAGGGGCUCACCAAGGCGAAGACGGGUAGCCGGCCUGAGAGGGCUACCGGCCACCCGGGGAGUGAGACACGGCGAAGACUCCUACGGGAGGCAGCAGUGGGGAAUAUUGCGCAAUGGGCGAAAGCCUGACGCAGCAACGCCGCGUGCGGGAUGAAGGCCUUCGGGUUGUAAACCGCUUUCAGCAGGGAAGAAGCGAAAGUGACGGUACCUGCAGAAGAAGCACCGGCUAACUACGUGCCAGCAGCCGCAGUAA